This 516-nucleotide ribosomal RNA is filed under the name Triticum aestivum (bread wheat). RNAcentral describes it as "partial small subunit ribosomal RNA". The record is from RNAcentral. Lineage: Eukaryota; Viridiplantae; Streptophyta; Magnoliopsida; Poales; Poaceae.
AUCUGGAGGGCACGCAUCCCCCCUAAAGUCAAGGUUUUCAUCUGGCAAGCCUCCCGUGGGCGCCUGCCGACGGGUGACCAAAUUCGUAAGCGUAAUGGCCCGGGAUCGGAAAGUUGUGCUUUAUGUGGCAUGAGAGAGGACACUUCACAUGUCUUCUUCAACUGUGUGUUGGCUAAUCUGUUUUGGUGUUGUAUCAGAUCCUGGCUGUGUGUUUGUUGGGCUCCGACCUCCUUUUCCGAACUGCGCAUCUUGGUUGAUUCUUUGGUUGGGGCCCAGAGGAGAUUGUUUUGGGUGGGCUUCGCAGCCAUGUGCUGGUCCCUUUGGACGACAAGGAAUAAAUUUACCAUCGAACAUGUUUUCCCUGCUAAGCCUGCUGAUUGCUUAUUUAAGACCUGUGUAUUCCUGCAGCAGUGGAGAUCAUUGACUAAGGAGGAGGACAAGGACGCCCUCGACGCCAUGUUGGCCAAGAUUCGCAAUUCUGCUAUCUCCAUCUCCCCAGUCCAUGCUGGAACUUAG